GAUGAACGCUGGCGGCGUGCCUAAUACAUGCAAGUCGAGCGAACAGACGAGGAGCUUGCUCCUCUGACGUUAGCGGCGGGCGGGUGAGUAACACGUGGAUAACCUACCUAUAAGACUGGGAUAACUUCGGGAAACCGGAGCUAAUACCGGAUAAUAUAUUGAACCGCAUGGUUCAAUAGUGAAAGACGGUUUUGCUGUCACUUAUAGAUGGAUCCGCGCCGCAUUAGCUAGUUGGUAAGGUAACGGCUUACCAAGGCAACGAUGCGUAGCCGACCUGAGAGGAUGAUCGGCCACACUGGAACUGAGACACGGUCCAGACUCCUACGGGAGGCAGCAGUAGGGAAUCUUCCGCAAUGGGCGAAAGCUUGACGGAGCAACGCCGCGUGAGUGAUGAAGGUCUUCGGAUCGUAAAACUCUGUUAUUAGGGAAGAACAAAUGUGUAAGUAACUAUGCACGUCUUGACGGUACCUAAUCAGAAAGCCACGGCUAACUACGUG
Molecule: ribosomal RNA, 497 nt
Filed under: uncultured bacterium
Lineage: Bacteria
Description: partial 16S ribosomal RNA
Rfam family: Bacterial small subunit ribosomal RNA
Source: RNAcentral